RNAcentral lists this long non-coding RNA (1073 nucleotides) under Mus caroli (Ryukyu mouse). Its description in RNAcentral is "predicted gene 43387 (MGP_CAROLIEiJ_G0034520.1)". Lineage: Eukaryota; Metazoa; Chordata; Mammalia; Rodentia; Muridae. The record is from RNAcentral.
UUGAGGCCAGCCUGGUCUACAGAGUGAGCCUUAGGACAACCAGGGCUGCACAGAGAAACCCUGUUUUGAUAAAAGGGGACAAAAGCUUUGAGAAAAUGAUUAUCUUUGCUGUGACACCAAACCACUCCAUUCAGUGUUACAAUUUUUUAACUCCUUAUAGUAAUUGCAGUAUGGAGUCUACGCUAGAGUAGAGAAGCUCUGAAAUAAACCGUGUUUGAAAGCCUUUCGUUCCAGCAAAGGCCAGCUCUCUUUUGAGUAGUAAACACAAGUACUAAACAGCCUUUGCCUGUUAAUUCUAGUUUGGGAUUAUUGCAGGGAGCAAAUUUGUUAUUAUAUCACAUUAGUUGUCACUGGAAAGUGAUUUUUUGAAAUGAAACUUUGUUUAUUGCUAGAUCCAAGAGGUGAAACAUUUCAGGAAGUCAGAAAUAGCAUUUGAUUUAUUGGGAGCUAUCUUCUUGUGCACUGAAAAGUUUGUGGUUCAGAACAGAGCGUUCUAUACAGGAAAAUACCCACAGUUGUUAAUUCUGCCCCAUAUUUUUUGGGAAAUCUUACCUAGGAAGAGAAUUGAUCCUCAUUUGCAAAGGCAGAUUUGUGGGACAGUAUCUGUGCCUAGAAAUGACUUUUUAAAGCCUCACCUGAAAGAGUGGAGUAUAAAUAACAGUGUUGGGUUUUCUAGGCCAUUUUGAGUCUGUGUUUACUUCUCACCUUGUUACUGAGGUCGAGUGAGUGUCAGCUACAUGAAGAGUUUCGGUGCUGCAAUAUGUACCUGGGAGAACGGCUCAUGAAAUUCUGGGGUUUUUUCUUUUGUUUUUGGUUCUGUUUGUUUGUUUGCCUGGUGUGGACUAGGUGUGUUUUUCUGAGUAAAUUAUAUUCAAAAUGUCCUAGAACAUGUUCUCAUGUUCUCUCCCUCCCUCCCUCCCUCUCCCUCUCUCUCCCCCUCUCUCUUUCUCUCUCUUCUCUUAAGGUGAAUUAAAAACUUGAAGUUUUUGCAAUUUUGCUAUAGAGUCAAAAGUUGGUGAUAACAUCAUUCUAAAGAUGUAAUAUUUUUUAAAGGCUACCUAGUUAUGAACUUU